ACUCAGCUGUUAAACACUACACUGGAAAUGAAGUUUUGAAGUGGGUGCACGUUGACCAGGAGAAAGUGUGCAUUAACUUGAGGGGAAAGGGUCCAGUGAAUUCCAAGAACAGCAGGAGGAGUCUAAAAAGAAGUCGUGUCCUGCUGACGUAUUAAGAAUUUACAGAUGCACUGGGAUGGUGGCUGUAGGGAAGUCGUGAAGUAGACCACAUUGGUUCAUGGGACUGUCUACUGCCCUGAGGACAAGUGCCCAAUAAAGGCUACUGACAGGCUGACUGCAGCUGGAGAGGGUCACCAAGAUGACUCAGAGGGCACUCUACAGAGUCCUACUGCCCGCACAGGGUCAUUUUGCUGCAGAGUUCAAGAAGACACAGCUGUUGGAUCUGAUGACUGCCUUCACACAGCAGGGACUGUCACUUCAGCUCAGAUACUAUUACUUCUUAAGCCUUCGUCUGGAGGAAUCCAUCAAUGUCCUUUUUCAAACUCUAAAAACACUCUCCAAAGAAGAAAGGUAAUUUUCUUUUAUCUGAAUUCUUGUGGAAUUUUACUUCGACUUUUUCUGUAUUUUUAAGAGCCCUCGAGAUGCCCAUAUAACUAGUUGAGUUGAGUUUAAA
Molecule: long non-coding RNA, 613 nt
Filed under: Vulpes vulpes (red fox)
Lineage: Eukaryota; Metazoa; Chordata; Mammalia; Carnivora; Canidae
Description: lncRNA (ENSVVUG00000028783.1)
Source: RNAcentral